UUCUGAAAUUAUCUUAAAAUGAAAAAAGCCCAACUCUUACGAGCUGGGCUUCAAAACUUUCGAACUUUAGCGACUGCGAACGAUUAGGUAGAGUGCGCUAAGAAGUCACAAAUUUCAGGAA
This 121-nucleotide ribosomal RNA is filed under the name Parachlamydia acanthamoebae. Lineage: Bacteria; Pseudomonadati; Chlamydiota; Chlamydiia; Parachlamydiales; Parachlamydiaceae. The record is from RNAcentral.